Cotesia glomerata is the source of this 1012-nucleotide long non-coding RNA. RefSeq lists it as uncharacterized. The record is from RefSeq and is a predicted model, not a curated record. The transcript has 3 exons. NCBI's taxonomy places the organism in Eukaryota, Metazoa, Arthropoda, Insecta, Hymenoptera, Braconidae.
AAACAAGAAGGAUGACAAACAAUAUAACAUCUCGUAUAACGUAACUAUAAGCAAAAACAAAAGUACUACUGACUACUGACAUAAAUUCGGUCAGUAUAUAGCAGUUUGUCUGUAUAGUACUGAUGGGAGUAAAAGUCUUAUUACAUUUUAUUUGAGUAACUCAAAAAAGGCCCUUCGGCUUAACUUUCGAGUAGAUACAUACUACUGAGCAGUAUGUUUUUAAAUUUCCUUCUCGCUCUGACAUUAAUCCAUUACUCUACUUCUUUCUCUUCUCUUUCUCUUUAGCUGUCCUUAUCAUUAUUUCUUAGUUAUAGUCCUCAGUCUUGAUUCGCUUCUAUCUUUCUUACUCUUACCUCUUGCUAUAUAUUCAAACCCAAACCCAACUAGUCUUGCUCGUGAUCGUCAUCGUCAUCGUCAUCGUCAUGGUACACAUACAUACAUGGUAUAUAUACACACAUGCCUGGAUGCAUCCAUAUCUUGUGUCUUUGUCGCUCAAAAACGAGACUCGCCGACUUUCCGACAAAGGAAUAAAGAAAAGAAACAACUAGCCAGGCUAUACUACGUUCUGUUCGUUGAGGAUGCCAUGCCACGGUAUGGUUUGCUGUAUGCCAUGUAAUGGUAUAUAUAUAUAUAUAUAUAUAUAUGUGGUAUGUCUUCAACCUUCUAUCCACUACCAUACCUAACUAUAACCGUAGAAAACAUAGAUAUUGUAUAGUAGGAUGUAAUAUCAAAUGAUGGAGAAAUGAAAUUGGAAUGGAAGGGGCUGCAGGCGCUUACCGUACCAGUGGCGUAUCAAACCACAUCACAGUGUCCUCUCAUGCUCAUAUCAACUUCAAUGUACAAUCCUCAUUGCAAUAUGUACAGGCAUUAGUCGUAGGUCACGUCAAACUCAUCACUUUCAUCUCAGAAACUUCAAAGAGAAUUGCCGAACCCGUAACAUUUUCUUAACUUACAGCUGAGUAACUGUAGGACGGUUCAGCUUAGUUAAAAAAAGAUAAACUCAAAAAUAAAA